RNAcentral lists this ribosomal RNA (693 nucleotides) under uncultured bacterium. RNAcentral's name for it is "bacterial SSU rRNA". It matches the Rfam family "Bacterial small subunit ribosomal RNA", at positions 32 to 715 of the family's 1533-position model. The record is from RNAcentral.
AACGCUAGCUACAGGCUUAACACAUGCAAGUCGAGGGGCAGCAUGAACUUAGCUUGCUAAGUUUGAUGGCGACCGGCGCACGGGUGAGUAACACGUAUCCAACCUGCCGAUGACUCGGGGAUAGCCUUUCGAAAGAAAGAUUAAUACCCGAUGGCAUAAUUCUUCCGCAUGGUAGAAUUAUUAAAGAAUUUCGGUCAUCGAUGGGGAUGCGUUCCAUUAGGUUGUUGGCGGGGUAACGGCCCACCAAGCCUUCGAUGGAUAGGGGUUCUGAGAGGAAGGUCCCCCACAUUGGAACUGAGACACGGUCCAAACUCCUACGGGAGGCAGCAGUGAGGAAUAUUGGUCAAUGGACGAGAGUCUGAACCAGCCAAGUAGCGUGAAGGAUGACUGCCCUAUGGGUUGUAAACUUCUUUUAUACGGGAAUAAAGUGAGGCACGUGUGCCUUUUUGUAUGUACCGUAUGAAUAAGGAUCGGCUAACUCCGUGCCAGCAGCCGCGGUAAUACGGAGGAUCCGAGCGUUAUCCGGAUUUAUUGGGUUUAAAGGGAGCGUAGGCGGACGCUUAAGUCAGUUGUGAAAGUUUGCGGCUCAACCGUAAAAUUGCAGUUGAUACUGGGUGUCUUGAGUACAGUAGAGGCAGGCGGAAUUCGUGGUGUAGCGGUGAAAUGCUUAGAUAUCACGAAGAACUCCGAUUG